RNAcentral lists this ribosomal RNA (1270 nucleotides) under Apatura metis heijona. RNAcentral's name for it is "partial 16S ribosomal RNA". The record is from RNAcentral. Lineage: Eukaryota; Metazoa; Arthropoda; Insecta; Lepidoptera; Nymphalidae.
GGGGGUAAAAUUAAUAAAUAUAAUAAAAAUAAUAAAAAAAAUUUUAGUUAAAAAUAUAUAAUGGGGGUUAAAGUAUUUUUAAUGGAAAAAAUUAAUAGAUUUAUAGUAUAAUAGUAUUGUGAAAGAAAUUUUAAAUAAAUUAAAUAUAAAAAUUAAAAUAAAGUAAAUUUAAAUUAUUGUAUCUUGUGUAUCAGAGUUUAUUAAAUAAAAAUUUUUAUUUAAAAAAUUCUCGAAUUUAAAAGAGUUAAUUAAUUAAAAAAGUUAAUGUUGAAUAAUUAUUUUAAAUAAUUAAUUAGAAAUGAAAUGUUAAUCGUUUUUAAAUAUAUCUAGUUUUUUUAGAAAAAAAUUUAAUUUUGAAAUUAAAUAAUUUUAUAAUUAAUUAAUUAAUUAUGGAAAAUUUAAAAUUUAAUAUAUUAAGGGAUAAGCUUUAAAUUAAAAAAUUAUAAUUAUUGAUUAUUAAUUAAAAUUUUUAAAAUUUAUAUUGUUUAGAAAUUAUAAUUUAUUAUAAAAAAUUUUAAUUAAAUUAAAAUUUAAAAAUAAAAUUUAAUUUUUUAUAAAAAAAUUAUUUUUAAUAAUAAAGAAUUAGAAAUAAUGAUAAAGUUAGUAUAUUAUAAAUUAAAAAUUAUAAAUUUAAUAAAAAUUAAAUUAAAGGAAUUCGGCAAAAAUUUAUAUUCACUUGUUUAUCAAAAACAUGUCUUUUUGGUUAUAAUUUAAAGUCUGAUCUGCCCACUGAUAAUAAUUAAAGGGCUGCAGUAUAUUGACUGUACAAAGGUAGCAUAAUCAUUAGUCUUUUAAUUGAAGACUUGUAUGAAAGAUUUAAUGAAAUAUAAGCUGUCUCUAAUUUAUUAAUAAAAUUUAAUAUUUUAGUUAAAAAGCUAAAAUAAAAUUAAAAGACGAGAAGACCCUAUAGAGUUUUAUAUUUAAUUUAAUUAAAAUAAAAUAUAAAAUUAAGUUAUUUAAAUUAAAUUAAUUAUUAUAUUGGGGUGAUAAAAAAAUUAAAAAAACUUUUUUUUUUAUUAAACAUAAAUAAAUGAUUAAAUGAUCCAUAAUUUAUGAUUAUAAGAAAAAAUUACCUUAGGGAUAACAGCGUAAUAUUUUUUUUUAGUACGUAUAAGAAAGAAAGUUUGCGACCUCGAUGUUGGAUUAAGAUAAAAGUUAAAUGCAAAAGUUUAAAAUUUUGAUCUGUUCGAUCAUUAAAAUCUUACAUGAUCUGAGUUCAAACCGGUGUAAGCCAGGUGGGUUACUAUCUUUAAUAAAUUAUAAUAUUUUA